Sander lucioperca (pikeperch) is the source of this 162-nucleotide long non-coding RNA. RefSeq lists it as uncharacterized. The record is from RefSeq and is a predicted model, not a curated record. The transcript is spliced from 2 exons. Lineage: Eukaryota; Metazoa; Chordata; Actinopteri; Perciformes; Percidae.
GAGAGCCCUCCGAUACAGAGACAAACACGUUGUCCUUUUCUUCCAUCGUGGGUCGGUUAAAGGUCCAGUUAAAGGUCCGGUGAAAUACCGCGGCCGUCCUCUCCCGACUGAACGUUGGCCCAGACCAAGUAGUGAAGGUAGUGCUGGUGCUUUCUCUUAAAC